RNAcentral lists this ribosomal RNA (484 nucleotides) under uncultured bacterium. RNAcentral's name for it is "partial 16S ribosomal RNA". It matches the Rfam family "Bacterial small subunit ribosomal RNA", at positions 28 to 523 of the family's 1533-position model. The record is from RNAcentral.
GACGAACGCUGGCGGCGUGCUUAACGCAUGCAAGUCGAACGAUGAACCCGGAGCUUGCUCCGGUGGAUUAGUGGCGAACGGGUGAGUAACACGUGAGUAACCUGCCCUUGACUCUGGGAUAACUGCGGGAAACUGUAGCUAAUACCGGAUACGACCCUCGGCGGCAUCGCCAGGGGGUGGAAAGAAUUUCGGUCAAGGAUGGACUCGCUGCCUAUCAGCUAGUUGGUGAGGUAACGGCUCACCAAGGGGACGACGGGUAGCCAGACUGGGAGGGUGACCCGCCGCACUGGGACUGAGACACGGCCCAGACUCCUGCGGGAGGCGGCAUUGGGGAAUAUUGCCAAAUGGGCGCAAGCCUCAUGCAGCAACGCCGCGUGAGGGAUGACGGCCUUCGGGUUGUAAACCUCUUUUAGUAGGGAAGAAGCGAAAGUGACGGUACCUGCAGAAAAAGCACCGGCUAACUACGUGCCAGCAGCCGCCGUAA